GUGAGGAAUAUUGCGCAAUGGAGGCAACUCUGACGCAGCCAUGCCGCGUGCAGGAAGAAGGCGCUACGCGUUGUAAACUGCUUUUAACCGGGAAGAAACCCCAGGACGUGUCCUGGGUUGACGGUACCGGAGGAAUAAGCACCGGCUAACUUCGUGCCAGCAGCCGCGGUAAUACGAAGGGUGCAAGCGUUAUCCGGAUUCAUUGGGUUUAAAGGGUGCGUAGGCGGAGCGUUAAGUCAGUGGUGAAAUCCUGCAGCUUAACUGUAGACUUGCCAUUGAUACUGGCGCGCUUGAGUGCGCUUGAAGUGGGCGGAAUGUGCCGUGUAGCGGUGAAAUGCUUAGAUAUGGCACAGAACACCAAUUGCGAAGGCAGCUCACUAAGGCGAUACUGACGCUGAGGCACGAAAGCGUGGGGAUCGAACAGGAUUAGAAACCCCUGUAGUCC
This 445-nucleotide ribosomal RNA is filed under the name uncultured bacterium. RNAcentral describes it as "bacterial SSU rRNA". It matches the Rfam family "Bacterial small subunit ribosomal RNA", at positions 354 to 796 of the family's 1533-position model. The record is from RNAcentral.